RNAcentral lists this long non-coding RNA (438 nucleotides) under Salvia miltiorrhiza (redroot sage). RNAcentral's name for it is "long non-coding RNA (SMIL_LNC007113)". Lineage: Eukaryota; Viridiplantae; Streptophyta; Magnoliopsida; Lamiales; Lamiaceae. The record is from RNAcentral.
UUGCCGACCCCUCAUAAAGAUCCAUUCGGUGAUGGCAUGUUUGACUCUUCUUCACCGGCCAGUGUCCUCAAGUUAGACGAGGGCACAUCACAAGCUACACGGAGAAAUGUAGCCUCAAAAUUAAAGAAGAGAAAAGGCAAGGUCACGUCGCAAUCAAAGAAGAGAAAAGGCAUCCAUCUUAACCUGUGUAAAAGAUUGGUCUUCUCUUAGCUCUCCAAUGUUCGCUACCAGCUGCAGCUGCAGUUUUAGGCUUGUCACUUCUGCCUAUUUGUUGACUAAUUGGCUUCAACUUAAAGUCCAACCAAAUACCUGAUUUUUGUUUGAUCUUUGUCUGCUAUCAGUUUGGUUUAUUUAUUGACUUUAUUCUACUAGUAGAAAUAUUAAAUUGCAUUAUGCAUAAGGCUCUGUUUUUGUUUAUUUCUCUGUUCUUAUCAAGCU